GGGCCCGCACAAGCGGUGGAGCAUGUGGUUUAAUUCGAUGGUACGCGAGGAACCUUACCUGGGUUUGACAUACAGCGUGAUGGGUCAGAGAUGAUCCAGCGUAGCAAUACGACGCUGUACAGGUGCUGCA
RNAcentral lists this ribosomal RNA (130 nucleotides) under uncultured bacterium. RNAcentral describes it as "partial 16S ribosomal RNA". It matches the Rfam family "Bacterial small subunit ribosomal RNA", at positions 917 to 1045 of the family's 1533-position model. The record is from RNAcentral.